This 440-nucleotide ribosomal RNA is filed under the name uncultured bacterium. RNAcentral describes it as "partial 16S ribosomal RNA". It matches the Rfam family "Bacterial small subunit ribosomal RNA", at positions 338 to 795 of the family's 1533-position model. The record is from RNAcentral.
CCUACGGGAGGCAGCAGUGGGGAAUAUUGCACAAUGGGGGAAACCCUGAUGCAGCGACGCCGCGUGAAGGAAGAAGUAUUUCGGUAUGUAAACUUCUAUCAGCAGGGAAGAAAAUGACGGUACCUGACUAAGAAGCCCCGGCUAACUACGUGCCAGCAGCCGCGGUACUACGUAGGGGGCAAGCGUUAUCCGGAUUUACUGGGGGUAAAGGGAGCGUAGGCGGCGAUGCAAGUCAGAAGGGAAAGCCCGGGGCUCAACUCCGGGACUGCUUUUGAAACUGUGUUGCUCGAUUGCAGGAGAGGUAAGUGGAAGUCCUAGUGUAGCGGUGAAAUGCGUAGAUAUUAGGAGGAACACCAGUGGCGAAGGCGGCUUACUGGACUGUAAAUGACGCUGAGGCUCGAAAGCGUGGGGAGCAAACAGGAUUAGAUACCCGAGUAGUC